Molecule: ribosomal RNA, 274 nt
Filed under: uncultured bacterium
Lineage: Bacteria
Description: partial 16S ribosomal RNA
Rfam family: Bacterial small subunit ribosomal RNA
Source: RNAcentral
AUACGGAGGAUGCGAGCGUUAUCCGGAUUUAUUAGGUUUAAAGGGUGUGUAGGCGGUAUUUUAAGUCAGUGGUGAAAUCUCGGAGCUUAACUUCGAAACUGCCAUUGAUACUGGAAUACUUGAGUAUAGUUGAGGUAGGCGGAAUAUGUAAUGUAGCGGUGAAAUGCAUAGAUAUUACAUAGAACACCGAUUGCGAAGGCAGCUUACUAAACUAUUACUGACGCUGAUGCACGAAAGCGUGGGGAGCGAACAGGAUUAGAUACCCUAGUAGUCC